GCCCGCGCUCCUCCGGCUCCGCGGCGCCCUCGCCGGGUGCGUGCCGCUUGCACGCCCGCCCGCCCGGCUCUCCGCGCCCGCCGCCCGCGCCCGGCCCCGGCGCCCCGGCCCUGCUGCCCGCGCUUCAUGGCUGCGCACGAAUGGGACUGGUUCCAGCGCGAGGAGCUCAUCGGACAGAUCAGCGACAUCCGAGUCCAGAACCUUCAAGCGCCUCUGACCCAUCACUACCGCCAGGCAGGUGUGUGGCACCAUCACCUCGUGCUUUAAAUUUGUAUCUUCCGGGCUUCCCUGGUGGCGCAGUGGUUGAGAAUCUGCCUGCCAAUGCAGGGGACAUGGGUUCGAGCCCUGGUCUGGGAAGAUCCCACAUGCCGCGGAGCAACUGGGCCCGUGAGCCACAACCACUGAGCCUGAGCCUGAGCGUCUGGAGCCUCUGCUCCUCAACAAGAGAGGCCGCGAUAGUGAGAGGCCCGCGCACCGCGAUGAAGAGUGGCCCCCGCUCGCCGCAACUGGAGAAAGCCCUCACACAGAAACG
Molecule: long non-coding RNA, 532 nt
Filed under: Balaenoptera musculus (blue whale)
Lineage: Eukaryota; Metazoa; Chordata; Mammalia; Artiodactyla; Balaenopteridae
Description: lncRNA (ENSBMSG00010002492.1)
Source: RNAcentral